Molecule: ribosomal RNA, 726 nt
Filed under: uncultured bacterium
Lineage: Bacteria
Description: bacterial SSU rRNA
Rfam family: Bacterial small subunit ribosomal RNA
Source: RNAcentral
AGCGGCGAACGGGUGAGUAACACGUAGGUGAUCUGCCCAUCAGACGGGGACAACGAUUGGAAACGAUCGCUAAUACCGGAUAGGACGAAAGUUUAAAGGUGCUUCUGGCACCGCUGAUGGAUGAGCCUGCGGCGCAUUAGCUAGUUGGUAGGGUAAAGGCCUACCAAGGCGACGAUGCGUAGCCGACCUGAGAGGGUGAACGGCCACACUGGGACUGAGACACGGCCCAGACUCCUACGGGAGGCAGCAGUAGGGAAUCUUCGGCAAUGGGCGAAAGCCUGACCGAGCAACGCCGCGUGAAUGAUGAAGGCCUUCGGGUUGUAAAAUUCUGUUAUAAGGGAAGAACGACUUUAGUAGGAAAUGGCUAGAGUGUGACGGUACCUUAUGAGAAAGCCACGGCUAACUACGUGCCAGCAGCCGCGGUAAUACGUAGGUGGCGAGCGUUAUCCGGAAUUAUUGGGCGUAAAGAGCGCGCAGGUGGUUGAUUAAGUCUGAUGUGAAAGCCCACGGCUUAACCAUGGAGGGUCAUUGGAAACUGGUCGACUUGAGUGCAGAAGAGGGAAGUGGAAUUCCAUGUGUAGCGGUGAAAUGCGUAGAGAUAUGGAGGAACACCAGUGGCGAAGGCGGCUUCCUGGUCUGUAACUGACACUGAGGCGCGAAAGCGUGGGGAGCAAACAGGAUUAGAUACCCUGGUAGUCCACGCUGUAAACGAUGAGUGCUAAGUGU